This 287-nucleotide ribosomal RNA is filed under the name Clostridioides difficile. RNAcentral describes it as "partial 23S ribosomal RNA". It matches the Rfam family "Bacterial large subunit ribosomal RNA", at positions 2636 to 2925 of the family's 2925-position model. The record is from RNAcentral. Lineage: Bacteria; Bacillati; Bacillota; Clostridia; Peptostreptococcales; Peptostreptococcaceae.
CCCUAUCCGUCGCAGGCGUAGGAAAUUUGAGAAGACCUGUCCUUAGUACGAGAGGACCGGGAUGGACGUACCUCUGGUGUACCAGUUGUUCUGCCAAGGGCAUGGCUGGGUAGCUAUGUACGGAAUGGAUAAGCGCUGAAAGCAUCUAAGCGCGAAGCCAACUUCAAGAUAAGAUUUCCCACCGCAAGGGUAAGACCCCAGAAAGACUAUCUGGUUGAUAGGUCGAAGGUGUAAGUGCAGCAAUGUAUUUAGCUUAUCGAUACUAAUAGGUCGAGGACUUGACCAAU